Molecule: small RNA, 500 nt
Filed under: Pongo abelii (Sumatran orangutan)
Lineage: Eukaryota; Metazoa; Chordata; Mammalia; Primates; Hominidae
Description: processed transcript
Source: RNAcentral
CGCUGUGGGUCUCAGCAGCUCGGGCGGCGGGAGGAGUGGCAGCGGCAAGGCAGCCCAGUUUCGCGAAGGCUCUCGGCGCGCCGCGGCCCGCAGGCAACCGGCACGCACCUUCCCCGCCGCCAGGAUGCCCAAGAGGAAGGUCAGCUCCGCCGAAGGCGCCGCCAAGGAAGAGCCCAAGAGGAGAUCGGCGCGGUUGUCAGCUAAACCUCCUGCAAAAGUGGAAGCGAAGCCGAAGAAGGCAGCAGCGAAGUGUAGGUAGAAGUUUAGCACUGCACAGUCAUCAGAAGAGGCAAGAUUAAUUUCCUUGACAUUGAGGAGUUGGGUAAUUACUAAAUUUGUCCUUGUUAAAUAAAGAAAGUUCUGUUUUUGUGAUCCUUUUAAAAAUAAAGCUUCACGGAAGGUAUGAGAAUAGUAUUUUUCAACUUGCAAUUUCUCAUUACCAGAAGACCAUGUGGUAAUUCUCUGUAUACAGUUAGAACAGCACGGAAACUUGAAGGCCU